Non-coding RNA from Cyanistes caeruleus (blue tit), 1447 nucleotides. The record is from RefSeq and is a predicted model, not a curated record. NCBI's taxonomy places the organism in Eukaryota, Metazoa, Chordata, Aves, Passeriformes, Paridae.
GAAAAACUGUCUGCAUGGCUCUUUCCUGGGCCAUAGUUUAGAACCUUGGAAUUCUGGGCAGGGGCAAGGAGAGAACAUGUGAGAUGGAGAUAUCUUCUGUGUUUCAACCCACUCCAGCUUCCCCCAAGCAGCUCUGAGGAGGCAGCUAAUUUUCUGCAAGCACUUGCUCCUUGCUGGCAGCAGGGGCUUGUUGAAACUUUUGCACAAAGCUGGGAGUUGCUGACAGUGACUUAAAACCCUCAGCUGAACAGGAUGGAAGAGAUCAAUACUGCACUGGGAGCUGGUGCUUGCUUUUCCCCACUUCAGGAAAGGUUCAUGCUACUGCAGCAGCUCUUCCAAGUCAGGCUGUCACUGCCCGACUGUGCCAGAGCUGCUGCAGGCUCCUUUUCAGCCCUAUGGAUUAGGAUAUCAGUUUUUUAACCACAAAGAGUUUUUCUCCUGUGUCUCGUCAUGAAUUGAUGCAAUAGAUCUGUAACUGCCUCAAGCAGCUGCUGCUGUGCCUGGUUUUCUGUGCAGGCUUGGGCUCUGAAACAAAAGGAUGGGGAAAGAAAAGAAGCUAAAAACUCUGGUUUGCUAAAGUAGCACCAAAUCAACAAGGAAGCUGCAUUUCAGCCUGGAUUAUUAUUUAGAGCCAUUUGUAAUCAGGAUUCUCUUACAGCAGCUCAAGCCAGCAGUUUGGCCUGUGUUAGAUGUGUAUGUACCAAUUAGUUUGUAUUAGGCUUAACCAUGGAGAAGUUCAUACAAUAGCCCUGAUGCAGUAAAGGCUGAAUCAAUAUGAAAUAGAGGUUGUUCCUGUAAAGAUUCAGGAAUGGAAACUUUACCACCACCACCACACCUACUUUCAGAACUGACACAUCACAAAGAAGUUGAGAAAUACCUUUCUGGCACAGUUUGAAGCUAACAUGCAUGACCCUGAGGGUGAGAAAUAGAUGGUAUUUGUUGGGACAACCACAUCUCCUCCGCUGGUGUGGUUCAGAAGGGAAGCUCUUACAUACUAUUAACUUCACAGUGAAAUUGAGAUAGUUUUGAUCCUACUUCUACAUAGACUUAGCUCAUGCUGUGCCCACAUCAGCUGAGAGCUGUUACAUGGGAUCUGACUUUUCCUCCACAUCCACUGAACCUUCAACCCACGCCAAGGACUGAGGCUGUACACACCCAGCCCAGGUUUUCCUUUGCAGUGCCACCCCCAGUUAAUGGGGUGCAAAGUGCCAGUGCUCCACAUCUCUUCAUGCACUGUUCCUUUUGCUCUAAACCCAAACUUCAUUUUUUCCUGCUGCAUUAUUUUGCAUAGGCAGCAUCUCUCAGGUCUCUGUUGCAUCACUGAGUUUGCUGGUAUUGGGUUUUACUCAAACAAUGUGUUCUGCCACAAAGGAGCAAGUUUGAGCAGGUUAGAGCUGUCCAGCCUGGCCGUGCAGGAACCAGUGACAAAUAAAGCUCCAUAAAUACA